AAGGUAGCGAAAUUCCUUGUCGGGUAAGUUCCGACCUGCACGAAUGGCGUAACGAUCUCCACACUGUCUCGGCCAGAGACUCGGUGAAAUUGAAGUCGCGGUGAAAAUGCCGUGUACCCGCAGAAAGACGGAAAGACCCUGUGCACCUUUACUAUAGCUUGACAUUGGGAUUUGAGCCUGCAUGUGUAGCAUAGGUGGGAGGCUGUGAACUCUGUACGCCAGUAUGGAGGGAGCCAUCGUUGAAAUACCACCCUUGUUUGUUCAGGUCCCUAACUCUUCGCCGUGAUCCGGUAAGAGGACAGUGUCUGGUGGGUAGUUUGACUGGGGCGGUCGCCUCCCAAAAUGUAACGGAGGCAUGCAAAGGUUCCCUCAGGCUGAUUGGAAACCAGCCGUCGAGUGCAAACGCAAAAGGGAGCUUGACUGCAAGAGAGACAUCUCGAGCAGGUACGAAAGUAGGUGUUAGUGAUCCGGUGAUCCCGAAUGGAAGGGUCAUCGCUCAUUGGAUAAAAGGUACGCCGGGGAUAACAGGCUGAUCGCAUCCAAGAGUUCACAUCGACGAUGCGGUUUGGCACCUCGAUGUCGGCUCAUCACAUCCUGGGGCUGAAGCAGGUCCCAAGGGUACGGCUGUUCGCCGUUUAAAGUGGUACGCGAGCUGGGUUUAAAACGUCGUGAGACAGUUUGGUCCCUAUCUUCUGUGGGCGAAGGAGAAUUGAGAGGGCCUGUCCCUAGUACGAGAGGACCGGGAUGGACGCACCCCUGGUGAUCCUGUUGUCGCGCCAGCGGCAUAGCAGGGUAGCUAUGUGCGGAAGGGAUAACCGCUGAAAGCAUCUAAGCGGGAAGCCUGCCUCAAGAUAAGUUCUCCCCUCGAAAGAGCUGAAGGGCCCGGGUAGACUACCCGGUCGAUAGGCUGGAGGUGUAAGCGCGGCGACGUGCUCAGCUGACCAGUACUAAUAGCCCGAGCGGCUUAUUUUU
RNAcentral lists this ribosomal RNA (972 nucleotides) under metagenome. RNAcentral describes it as "bacterial LSU rRNA". It matches the Rfam family "Bacterial large subunit ribosomal RNA", at positions 1953 to 2925 of the family's 2925-position model. The record is from RNAcentral. RNAcentral also lists the same sequence under 1 other name.